CCUACGGGAGGCAGCAGUGGGGAAUAUUGGACAAUGGGCGGAAGCCUGAUCCAGCAACGCCGCGUGAGGGAUGACUGCCUUCGGGUUGUAAACCUCUUUCAGCACAGACGAAGCGAAAGUGACGGUAUGUGCAGAAGAAGCACCGGCCAACUACGUGCCAGCAGCCGCGGUAAUACGUAGGGUGCGAGCGUUGUCCGGAAUUAUUGGGCGUAAAGGGCUCGUAGGCGGUUUGUCGCGUCGGGAGUGAAAACACACAGCUUAACUGUGUGCUUGCUUCCGAUACGGGCAGACUAGAGGUAUGCAGGGGAGAACGGAAUUCCUGGUGUAGCGGUGAAAUGCGCAGAUAUCAGGAGGAACACCGGUGGCGAAGGCGGUUCUCUGGGCAUUACCUGACGCUGAGGAGCGAAAGUGUGGGGAGCGAACAGGAUUAGAUACCCUGGUAGUCCACACCGUAAACGUUGGGCGCUAGGUGUGGGGCCUAGUUCCAUGGGUUCCGUGCCGCAGCUAACGCAUUAAGCGCCCCGCCUGGGGAGACGGCCGCGAGACGAACACGAAGAAGUAGAGCGUGAGACGCGCGACGACGACGACGAGGGAGAGG
This 598-nucleotide ribosomal RNA is filed under the name uncultured bacterium. Its description in RNAcentral is "bacterial SSU rRNA". The stretch from base 1 to 526 matches the Rfam family "Bacterial small subunit ribosomal RNA", at positions 338 to 873 of the family's 1533-position model. The record is from RNAcentral.